RNAcentral lists this long non-coding RNA (277 nucleotides) under Elaeis guineensis (African oil palm). RNAcentral's name for it is "long non-coding RNA (EGUI_LNC034623)". Lineage: Eukaryota; Viridiplantae; Streptophyta; Magnoliopsida; Arecales; Arecaceae. The record is from RNAcentral.
CUGUACAGACCUCCUUGCCACCAUAGUAUCUUAGCCCUGGAGCUAUCUGAGAGACUGCCACCGCCUUCCUUAUGACUGAAGCUCUCAUCCUACAAGCACCACUCUUGUAGGUCCUGUCAUCAGUGGCUAUGUCCACCACUGAUCCAAUAGCUGCUCUCAUUGCUGCCUCUGCGACUCCAUCUAUUGCACCACCAGCUACUCCAUCUAUGACUCCUAACUGUCAUAGCCCCAGCAACUCUUCUCGUCGCUGCUCUAAUGACUCUAAUCACUACUAGUC